GGUCUAGUGGCGUAGUGGAGAACGCGCCGUCGUAACAUUGAAGCUGUCCAUCACAUGUUUAUGACGGAGACCCUUGUUCGAGUCAAGGCUGGACCA
Molecule: non-coding RNA, 96 nt
Organism: Mycena polygramma
Lineage: Eukaryota; Fungi; Basidiomycota; Agaricomycetes; Agaricales; Mycenaceae
Source: the annotation of a GenBank genome assembly